UUCAUUGUUGUGCUUCUUGUCAGGUGGCAAAGUACUCCGCUUAAGAGAGAAUCGUUUCACAAAGGUUCUAUUAACAGCAUGUCUGCAACUCUAUCAAAAUAGCACAAUGUAUCAGACAAAAUAGAAUAUACAGUAAGAUGUUAUCUGAU
Etheostoma spectabile (orangethroat darter) is the source of this 149-nucleotide long non-coding RNA. RefSeq lists it as uncharacterized. NCBI's taxonomy places the organism in Eukaryota, Metazoa, Chordata, Actinopteri, Perciformes, Percidae. The transcript has 3 exons. The record is from RefSeq and is a predicted model, not a curated record.